Homo sapiens (human) is the source of this 1970-nucleotide long non-coding RNA. Ensembl annotates it as family with sequence similarity 230 member C. Its record names the gene FAM230C. NCBI's taxonomy places the organism in Eukaryota, Metazoa, Chordata, Mammalia, Primates, Hominidae. The record is from Ensembl.
GCCGAGACUGCGCUUCGUGCGAGGCCCGGGCAGCAUCGGCGGCGUGGUCAGAGCGAGUCUCGGAGAAGAUGUGGUGGCUUCCGUUUGUUGGUGGAGGAGGUGGCAGGCCUCGGCGGUGACUCGAAGAAUUCUUCCAAAAAGCGUGUGAAAAGGGAGCCCUACUCUACUACCAAGGUGACUUCAGGGAGCACAUUCAAUGAGAAUACAAGAAGAUAUGCUGUGCACACCAACCAGUGUCGGAGACCUCAUGGCUCCCCGGUAAAGAAGAAGAUGUACCCACAAGAAGAUGACUUCCAUCAUACAAUCUUCAGCAACCUUGAAAGAUUGGACAAGCUUCAGCCCACUCUUGAAGCCUCUGAGGAGUCUCUAGUUCACAAGGACAGAGGAGAUGGAGAGAGGCCAGUCAACGUGAGGGUGGUGCAGGUGGCCCCUCUGAGGCGUGAAUCUAUGACUCCUCUACCCUCACCAGAGCCAUCCCCGGGUCUGCCUUAUUAUCCCGACUACUCAGGUGGAGAACCUGAAGGGCCAAGGGAGUGGCCCCAGCUCCUGAGUUCCUGAAUGAAAAAGUGAAAACACGAACCCAGGAGUGUGGGCCAGUGCUGACACUGACAUGCACUUAGUCAUGGAGUGUUCACCACCACACAGGGAGUUCAGCAUUCAUCUAUAAGCCCUAAAGCACCGAGCCCAAAAGGCCCCAGACACUGCCCAUCAUCAUAAAGUGGCCUCUGUGGUCACACAACCCAGGGCAGUUAUAGGCUCAUCUCCCCACGGACAGGCAUAGUCAUCAGUGUGUCAAAAGCACAAAGAUCCCCAGGUGUUUUGCUCAGCUCACAGAUCUUUUUUUUUUAACUUUUAAGUUCAGGGGUACAUGUGCAGGAUGUGCAGGUUUGCUACAUAUAGAAAUGUGUGUCAUGAGAGUUUGUUGUACAGAUUAUUGCAUCACCCAUACAUUGAGCCUAAUAUCAGCUAUUUUUCCUGAUCCUCCCCCUCCUCCCACCUCCCACCCUCCAGUGGGCCCCACGCUCACAAAUUCUAAGAGGAGUGGGGGACCACAAAUGCCAGUGUGGCCCACUUCAGUUGUGAAGUUAAUUUGCUCAGCAGCUGGCCAAAGCCUGUAAGGAUGGGUGAUGUAUUUUAGUAGAUUUAGUAAUACUAUCUUCCCAAGCCCUAAAAUGCUCAAAACCUGCCAGCCAAAAAUGGUGAGGAGGGACAGAUAGGAACUCUGUGUGGCACUUGGUUAUUAGCCUGGCUUCCAUCCCUUAGUGGCAACUCUCUUGUAUAUGUGGGUUAAAGACCCUCAGCCUCAAGCCAAGCCUCCUCCAUGAGGAGCCAUCUCACUAUUGACUGGCUAGUGCCGGGUAUGGCCACCAGCCCAACUGAAACAAAAUGUUGCUUUAAAACAAGUGUAAAUCUCAUACAACAGGCAAAUGCAGAAGCAAUGUGGUCUCGCAAGUUGUAAAGAGGACAGUCGCAAUUUUGCUGGACUUCAACCUGGGUAGAAGACAUGAGGGAACUCUGUCACUGAAUCACGGCAGAGUUCAAGGCCACUUGUAGACUAUUUCAUGUUACAGAAGGUAGCCUUUAGCUACUAAGCAAAGGCCUCGGUUUCUCAUUUCUUUCCUGUUCAUCUUCUUGGUCAUCCUUCUUCCGCAAGGGAAACGAGCCCAAGCAAAAGGCAGUUUCAAUAUUAAUUUGACCGAGGUUUUGUGCAGUUUAUUAUCAUCCAGGUAAUCAGGUGCAACCCAGUCUGCCUAGCAGCCCCCCUCUCUCUGCUCUGUGUUUUCAUUUAAUAAACAUUUUGGUCUACUUACUAUGUGCUAGAUUUUCUCGAGACCAAGUAAAUGAGAUAGAAUCUUUAUGUUGGCAGCUAAGUUAGAUUUAACAUAACUGACAAAAAUUAAAAUUUCUGAUUUCUUGUAAAAAUUGUAUGUGUGAAUGCAUACUGAAAGUAAAGUGGUUAACAAAAAAAA